CACGUAAGUGGCAAGCGUUGUUCGGAUUCAUUGGGCGUAAAGGGCGUGUAGGCGGCGUAUCAAGCUUGGUGUGAAAUAUCCCGGCUCAACCGGGAAGGCGCGCUGAGAACUGAUAUGCUAGAGUUCAAGAGGGGGAGUUAGAAUUCCAGGUGUAGGGGUGAAAUCUGUAGAUAUCUGGAAGAAUACCGGUGGCGAAGGCGAGCUCCUGGCAAUGAACUGACGCUGAGGCGCGAAAGCGUGGGUAGCAAACAGGAUUAGAUACCCUGGUAGUCCACGCUGUAAACGAUGUGCACUAAGUGUUUGGGGGUUACCCUGAGUGCUGAAGCUAACGUAGUAAGUGCACCGCCUGGGGAGUAUGCUCGCAAGGGUGAA
This 372-nucleotide ribosomal RNA is filed under the name uncultured bacterium. RNAcentral's name for it is "bacterial SSU rRNA". It matches the Rfam family "Bacterial small subunit ribosomal RNA", at positions 524 to 898 of the family's 1533-position model. The record is from RNAcentral.